RNAcentral lists this ribosomal RNA (331 nucleotides) under uncultured low G+C Gram-positive bacterium 59ev. RNAcentral describes it as "bacterial SSU rRNA". It matches the Rfam family "Bacterial small subunit ribosomal RNA", at positions 9 to 327 of the family's 1533-position model. The record is from RNAcentral. Lineage: Bacteria; Bacillati; Bacillota.
GAGUUUGAUCCUGGCUCAGGACGAACGCUGGCGGCGUGCCUAACACAUGCAAGUCGAACGGAGAUUUCAGCAAUGAAAUCUUAGUGGCGAACGGGUGAGUAACGCGUAGACAACCUACCUUCUAGAUGGGGACAACACUGGGAAACUAGUGCUAAUACCGAAUGUUGUAUUUUGGUUGCAUAAUCGAAAUACUAAAGAUGGCCUCUAUUUAUAAGCUAUCACUAGAAGAUGGGUCUGCGUCUGAUUAGCUAGUUGGUGAGGUAAUGGCUCACCAAGGCGACGAUCAGUAGCCGGUCUGAGAGGAUGAACGGCCACACUGGGACUGAGACAC